AUUGAACGCUGGCGGCAUGCCUUACACAUGCAAGUCGAACGGCAGCGCGGGGCAACCUGGCGGCGAGUGGCGAACGGGUGAGUAACAUAUCGGAACAUACCCUAGAGUGGGGGAUAACGUAGCGAAAGUUACGCUAAUACCGCAUACGCACUAAGGUGGAAAGUGGGGGAUUCGCAAGAACCUCAUGCUCAUGGAGUGGCCGAUAUCUGAUUAGCUAGUUGGUGAGGUAAAGGCUCACCAAGGCGACGAUCAGUAGCUGGUUUGAGAGAACGACCAGCCACACUGGAACUGAGACACGGUCCAGACUCCUACGGGAGGCAGCAGUGGGGAAUUUUCCGCAAUGGGCGAAAGCCUGACGGAGCAAUACCGCGUGAAGG
This 377-nucleotide ribosomal RNA is filed under the name uncultured bacterium. Its description in RNAcentral is "bacterial SSU rRNA". It matches the Rfam family "Bacterial small subunit ribosomal RNA", at positions 30 to 407 of the family's 1533-position model. The record is from RNAcentral.